Molecule: long non-coding RNA, 260 nt
Filed under: Homo sapiens (human)
Lineage: Eukaryota; Metazoa; Chordata; Mammalia; Primates; Hominidae
Description: HSALNT0289799
Source: RNAcentral
AUCUGAUGGUCUGGAGCAGCACCCACACCCACAGGUGAGCAUCUGACAGCCUGGAACAGAACCCACACCUCCAGGUGAGCAUCUGACAGACUGGAACAGCACCCACACCCCUAGGAGAGCAUCCGGCAGCCUGGAGCGGAACCCACACCAACAGGCGAGCAUCUGACAGCCUCGGUCAGCACCCACAAACCCAGGUGAGCAUCUGAUGCUUUGGAGCAGCACCCACACCUUCAGGUGAGCAUCUGACAGCCUGGAACAGA